CCUACGGGAGGCAGCAGUGAGGAAUAUUGGUCAAUGGACGAGAGUCUGAACCAGCCAAGUAGCGUGAAGGAUGACUGCCCUAUGGGUUGUAAACUUCUUUUAUAAGGGAAUAAAACGAGGCACGUGUGCCUUUUUGCAUGUACUUUAUGAAUAAGGAUCGGCUAACUCCGUGCCAGCAGCCGCGGUAAUACGGAGGAUCCGAGCGUUAUCCGGAUUUAUUGGGUUUAAAGGGAGCGUAGAUGGGUUGUUAAGUCAGUUGUGAAAGUUUGCGGCUAAACCGUAAAAUUGCAAUUGAUACUGGGAGUCUUGAGUACAGUUGAGGUAGGCGGAAUUCGUGGUGUAGCGGUGAAAUGCUUAGAUAUCACGAAGAACCCCGAUUGCGAAGGCAGCUUACUAAACUGUGACUGACAUUGAUGCUCGAAAGUGUGGGUAUCAAACAGGAUUAGAUACCCUUGUAGUC
RNAcentral lists this ribosomal RNA (460 nucleotides) under uncultured bacterium. Its description in RNAcentral is "partial 16S ribosomal RNA". It matches the Rfam family "Bacterial small subunit ribosomal RNA", at positions 338 to 795 of the family's 1533-position model. The record is from RNAcentral.